This 411-nucleotide long non-coding RNA is filed under the name Oryctolagus cuniculus (rabbit). RNAcentral describes it as "lncRNA (ENSOCUG00000037149.1)". The record is from RNAcentral. Lineage: Eukaryota; Metazoa; Chordata; Mammalia; Lagomorpha; Leporidae.
AUUCAGGAGCUAAAUUUUAAAUUGAACUUAAUUUCAAUUCAUUCCAGUUCAAAGAGCAACACUGGAUACUGCCAACCAUAUUGGGAGACAGAGCUAUACAAUGGAAGCAAUGAUGUCUGCCUUGAUUUCCUUCUAUAACUGGAACCCGAUUUUCCCUACCACCAUUGAUGGUAAGAACACAAUUCAGAUGAGAACCUUGAGACUAUUUGGAUGAGAAGGCUUCAGACUGUGUUCCAUCAAGGUGUUUCAGGACUACCCUGGCAGUGUGAAGGAGACUAUAAGCAGGGCAAGUGUUUAAGGUUGACUAUCUUGGGGUACACUUUCUGCCCUAGUAAGAAGAUCUUCAGAGAGACCACCUAGAUAAAUUUAAUAUUUGACUCUCUGGUAUUUUAAAGACACUGUCGAUAUUGA